ACUGCUCAGUAACACGUGGAUAACCUGCCCUUGGGACCGGCAUAACCCCGGGAAACUGGGGAUAAUUCCGGAUAACGCACAUAUGCUGGAAUGCUUUAUGCGUAAAAUGGAUUCGUCCGCCCAAGGAUGGGUCUGCGGCCUAUCAGGUAGUAGUGGGUGUAAUGUACCUACUAGCCUGCAACGGGUACGGGUUGUGAGAGCAAGAGCCCGGAGAUGGAUUCUGAGACAUGAAUCCAGGCCCUACGGGGCGCAGCAGGCGCGAAAACUUUACAAUGCGGGAAACCGUGAUAAGGGGACACCGAGUGCCAGCAUCAUAUGCUGGCUGUCCAGGUGUUAAAAUACACCUGUUAGCAAGGGCCGGGCAAGACCGGUGCCAGCCGCCGCGGUAACACCGGCGGCCCGAGUGGUGAUCGUGAUUAUUGGGUCUAAAGGGUCCGUAGCCGGUUUGGUCAGUCCUCCGGGAAAUCUGAUAGCUUAACUAUUAGGCUUUCGGAGGAUACUGCCAGACUUGGAACCGGGAGAGGUAAGAGGUACUACAGGGGUAGGAGUGAAAUCUUGUAAUCCCUGUGGGACCACCUGUGGCGAAGGCGUCUUACCAGAACGGGUUCGACGGUGAGGGACGAAAGCUGGGGGCACGAACCGGAUUAGAUACCCGGGUAGUCCCAGCCGUAAACGAUGCUCGCUAGGUGUCAGGCAUGGCGCGACCGUGUCUGGUGCCGCAGGGAAGCCGUGAAGCGAGCCACCUGGGAAGUACGGCCGCAAGGCUGGAACUUAAAGGAAUUGGCGGGGGAGCAC
RNAcentral lists this ribosomal RNA (795 nucleotides) under uncultured archaeon. RNAcentral describes it as "bacterial SSU rRNA". It matches the Rfam family "Archaeal small subunit ribosomal RNA", at positions 85 to 879 of the family's 1478-position model. The record is from RNAcentral.